CUGAAUUUCAUUAAGGAAGACCCUACACGGGUUCUUCCUAAAGUGACACUAUGCUCUCCUGAUUUAUCUCAAGUGCCCACCUGUUAUCAGGAUAUUAAAGAUGUUUUUUCCAAGUCCAAGGCCAAAUCCCUUCCACCCCACAGACCUUAUGACUGUGCUAUUGACUUGCUGCCUGGAACCACACCCCCACGAGGGAGGUUGUUCUCUCUUUCAGGGCCGGAACACAAGGCCAUGAAGGAAUACGUAGAAGAAUCACUGGCAGCUGGGAUCAUUCGCCCAUCUUCAUCCCCUGCGGGAGCAGGAUUUUUCUUCGUGGACAAGAAAGACAAGACCCUGCGACCCUGUAUCGAUUACCGGGGUCUCAAUGAGAUCACGGUAAAAAACAGCAGUUACUGCAGAAUCAACUCUAUGUCAAGGCUGAGAAAU
Molecule: long non-coding RNA, 426 nt
Organism: Phyllopteryx taeniolatus (common seadragon)
Lineage: Eukaryota; Metazoa; Chordata; Actinopteri; Syngnathiformes; Syngnathidae
Exons: 2
Source: RefSeq, a predicted model, not a curated record